This 90-nucleotide transfer RNA is filed under the name Thermoprotei archaeon. RNAcentral describes it as "tRNA-Ala". Lineage: Archaea; Thermoproteati; Thermoproteota; Thermoprotei. The record is from RNAcentral.
GCGGGGGUGCCCGAGCCAGGACGAAGGGGCCGGACAGGCCAUCCGGUGGGGGCAGCCCCGUCCGGGGUUCAAAUCCCCGCCCCCGCACCA